RNAcentral lists this long non-coding RNA (1592 nucleotides) under Brassica napus (rape). RNAcentral describes it as "long non-coding RNA (BNAP_LNC023738)". Lineage: Eukaryota; Viridiplantae; Streptophyta; Magnoliopsida; Brassicales; Brassicaceae. The record is from RNAcentral.
GAUCCAAACUAGGAGUUAACCGAUAACUCUAGGAAUGGUGAAGCUAGCCUAGAAGGAGAUUACUGAGGAAGAAGAAUCACCUCGAAGGUACUAGAUCCUUGAUGAAAUAGAGCAGAGAGUUUUAGAGGUUUAUGAGAUGAAAUAUUUCUUGAUUAAAAACUUCUGCAAAUGCAGGGGAAGAGUACAAAUACUAAAGUUCGAUGGUCACACUAACGGUCCAAACAAUGACCUGUCAAUGAUGAUUAGAAAGCAUAAAGCAAAAGCAUAAAGCAAAGCAUAUCUAAUGAAUAUGCUUUUGUGAUAAGGUUGGCGAGUGUGACUCAGCCUGUGACAAUACUCCCUCCUUCAGAGCAACCUUGUCCUCAAGGAUUGAAUAAAGGAUACUUGGCGUUGAAGUCACUGAAGAACUCCCAAGUUGCUGUUGCAGGUGUCUCUCCUUUCCAUUGAACCAAAACCUUUGUUGCAGCUGUGUUCUGGCGCUUAACUGUCUUCGUCUCCAAAAUGGCUUCAGGUUCUUUGGAUAUCCCGAGGUCAAGCCAGUAUUGCGGAACAGCGGGGGAUGAGGUUGGUGGGUUAGGACAGAGCUUUAGUUGACUGACAUGAAAGGUGUCAUGUAUAGCCGCCUCUGGAGGUAGCAACAACUUGUAAGCUACGAGGCCUAUGCGGUCAACCACGCGGAAAGGGCCAUAGAAGUGUGGUGAUAGCUUAUGUGGGAUUUUCCGGUUCUUGAGGGUAUGCUGGCGGUAUGGCUGCAGCUUCAGAUAGACAUGAUCACCGAUCUUGAACUCACGGGGAGAACGGUGAGCAUCAGCAUAUUGUUUCAUUCUGUUUUGAGCGUGGAGGAGGUGAAACUUAAGCAUGUUGAUCACUUCUUCCCGCUUUUGUAGGCUGCGAUCCACAACAGAGGAUGAGCUUUCACCGGGGAGGUAUGGGAGAUGAAGGGGAGGGGGUUGGCCAUAGAUUAUCUCAUAAGGUGUAGAGCGUAUGGCAGAGUGAAAGGUUGUAUUGUACCACCACUCAGCUAAUCCCAGCCAUUUGCUCCACGAAGUUGGUGUUUCUGCAGUCAUACAGCGCAGAUAGGUUUCCAACGUCUUGUUUGUCACCUCAGUUUGUCCGUCUGUCUGAGGGUGGUAGGCGGUGGAGCGUUUGAGAUCGACCCCGUGAACCCUGAAGAUUUCUUUCCAUACCUCACUGAGAAAUGUAGGGUCUCUGUCGCUUAUCAUGUCUUUGGGCAUUCCAUGAAGCUUGAAGAUGUUGUCAAGGUAGGCUUGUGCCACAGUUAAAGCCGUGUAAGGGUGGGAUAUGGCGAUGAAGUGAGCGUUUUUGCUCAAGCGGUCGAUGACUACCAGGAUGCAGCUUUUCCCAUGAGAGGUAGGGAGGCCCUCUAUGAAGUCGAGGCUGAUAGAUUCCCAGAUGCCAUCAGGGAUGGGUAGAGGUUGUAGAAGGCCUGGCUUAGCUGCAUUAUCAUACUUGUUCUUCUGACAGACAGAGCAGUUGCGUAUGUAGUUCUGAACUUCCAAAUUCAUUUUUGGCCAGUAGAACAGAGAUUUGAUGCGAUGCAAGGUGGCGUCUCUACCAGAGUGACCGCCAAG